UGCCCUCGGGCCUGGCUCGCCCGCGGGCGGAUGGCUCCGGGUCUCUGCUGCUGAGGAUGUGGCUGCCGGGCGGAGGUCGUCCACUCCCCUGGGCCUUUCUCCGCGAGCCCUCCCACGCCGCCCGCUCCUCUCCCGGGGCGAAGGGCGGGGACGAGGCGCGCCGAAGCCCCGAGCUGAAGAGAAGGGUGGGGGCAUGAGGGCGCUGGAGUGAGGAACAGAUUGGAGCCUUCCCACUUCCUCUCCAAUCUCAGCCCCCGGGAGGAGGGGUGAGGCCCUCGAGGGGGCCCGGAGUUAAGGAGGAAUAGACCGUUUCUCUCUCUCCUGUCUCCCCCGCCUCUGCCCGUCUUCCCUCUAAGCCGGCCUCUAGGUGCAGAGGCUGACGUCCAGGAUGGGGACCGGGGAAGCCUCUGGAGGGUAUAUCCGGGAAGGCACCAAGGCUGAAGUGAGAGCGGUUCUGGGGAAGGCUUUAAAAAGCAGAUAUGGACCAGGGUAGAGUUCGUACGCUGUAGCUUUUCAAGAACACCGAUCUCAUUAAUUAAAGAACAGCAACUAUUUAAUUCCAGUUAUAAACUAUUGUUUUCCAGUUAGUCUGGGUAGGUGUGGCCGUUUGUAGAAUAGUUAGAUUACAUUAGUCUAUUGCGUUGGUACAGUUGUCUAUAGCUUGAGCAUAUAAAAACUCCUGAGCCCAGCAGAAAAGUUACUUUCCAAUACCAGUCUCCAUCCUCCGUGCUUUGGAAGUUGCAUCGUUUUCCGGUUUUUCGUACUCAAAGAACACUGUCAAUUAUGACAGCUCUGUGACCUCUGAAAGAUGCAGUCUAGCACCUCAGUUAAGAAUAUGGACUCUAAAGUCAGACUGCCAGGCUUCAAAUUCCAGUUCUGCGACCUCAGCAAAGUUACUUAACCAAGCUCUCAGUGCCUUGUUUUCUUCAUCUGUAAAAUGAGGAUGACGUCACAGCAUUGUUGAGAGAAUUAAUACAGGCUCCAGACUUGUGAAUGGAGAAGUGUUGAGGUGACCCCAGCUCCAGCCACCAGCUGACGACAACCAUACCGGAGAUCCUGAGAGCUGCCUAGCUGACCCCAGGCACCCCCCAGACUUCAUGUAAGCUGUUUGAAGCCGAGGACUUUGUCUGUUUUGUUCACUCCCAAUAGAUUCAGCACUUAGAAGAAUGCCAGGCAGGCUUUCCCCACCAACCAAGAUGGAAUAACAGGGAAAAGACAUACCCUUCUAUCUUCAAUAAUUGGAAACCCAGACAAAGUUUAUGAAACGCUGGUUUUCAAGACAUAGGACAUCAGACAAUCAAGGACAGUAAACACUGAGAUGGGAAACAAACAAGGAAGCCAUGAAAACUUCAAAACUGCUUCACCACCUGGAGACCAAGCACCCUGCAUUAAAAGACAAGCCUUUGGAGUUUUUCUAAAGAAAAAACAUGAACACAGAGAACAGAAGUAAUUAUUGAAGGCCACUACUUCAUUAAGUGUGUCUGUACUGAGAGCAUCGUUCCUAGUGGCUAACCACGUUAUUAGGCUAAGAAGCCCUUUAGUAUUGGUGAAGAGUUGAUCCUGCCUGCUGCUAAGGACAUUUGUCAUGAACUUUUAGGAGAGGCUGCUGUUCAAAAGGUGGCACAUGUUCCUCUUUCAGCUAACACCAUAACUAGAAGAAUGGAUGAAAUAGCAGAGAAUAUUGAGGCACAAUUGUUAGAGAGGAUUAAUGAGUCACCGUGCUACACAAUCCACAAAAGGGUUUUGUCCCAGAAAUAGACUCAUACAUAUAUGAUCAGUGAUUUUCAACAGUGGUACAAAUGCAAGUCAGCGCAGAAAAAAUAAUCUCUUCAACAAAUGGUGCAGGAACAAUUGGAUAUCCAUAAAAUGAACUCGGAUCCACGCUUUGCACCAUAUGCAAAAAUUGACUCAAAAUAGGUAUAGGUCCUAGACCUAAAUGUAACAACCUGAAACUCUAAAAUUUCUCAGGAAAAAAAUGGGAUAAAAUCUUUGUGGUCUUGGAUUAGGCAAAGAUAUUUUCUUGUGUUUGUGGGUAAAGAAACCUUUAAUGAGGGUUCAAGGUGUAAGAGGAGGACCUUGUAGAGAGCCAGCGCUUAGCCCCAGCCUCCUCAUAUGCACAUGGCUCUGUAGAGGUUCUCCAGACAGUGCUGCUGCUGCUGUUUCGAGCCUUAUCUCCUCUGUGCUCCUC
This 2188-nucleotide long non-coding RNA is filed under the name Homo sapiens (human). RNAcentral's name for it is "HSALNT0182764". Lineage: Eukaryota; Metazoa; Chordata; Mammalia; Primates; Hominidae. The record is from RNAcentral.